This 493-nucleotide ribosomal RNA is filed under the name uncultured bacterium. RNAcentral's name for it is "bacterial SSU rRNA". It matches the Rfam family "Bacterial small subunit ribosomal RNA", at positions 17 to 507 of the family's 1533-position model. The record is from RNAcentral.
UCCUGGCUCAGAUUGAACGCUGGCGGCAUGCCUUACACAUGCAAGUCGAACGGCAGCGGGCCUUCGGGUGCCGGCGAGUGGCGAACGGGUGAGUAAUGCAUCGGAACGUGCCAUUGAGUGGGGGAUAACGUAGCGAAAGUUACGCUAAUACCGCGUAUUCUGUGAGCAGGAAAGCAGGGGACCGCAAGGCCUUGCGCUCUUUGAGCGGCCGAUGUCAGAUUAGCUAGUUGGUGAGGUAAAGGCUUACCAAGGCGACGAUCUGUAGCGGGCCUGAGAGGAUGAUCCGCCACACUGGAACUGAGACACGGUCCAGACUCCUACGGGAGGCAGCAGUGGGGAAUUUUGGACAAUGGGCGCAAGCCUGAUCCAGCCAUGCCGCGUGAGUGAAGAAGGCCUUCGGGUUGUAAAGCUCUUUCGGCCGGGAAGAAAUCGCAUGGGUUAAUACCCUGUGUGGAUGACGGUACCGGAAUAAGAAGCACCGGCUAACUACGUG